This 29-nucleotide non-coding RNA is filed under the name Homo sapiens (human). The record is from RNAcentral. Lineage: Eukaryota; Metazoa; Chordata; Mammalia; Primates; Hominidae.
UGUGCUGAAGACCACGUGAACUUUACAUC